This 82-nucleotide transfer RNA is filed under the name Candidatus Omnitrophota bacterium. Its description in RNAcentral is "Candidatus Omnitrophica bacterium (groundwater metagenome) tRNA-Leu". It matches the Rfam family "tRNA". Rfam says of the family: Transfer RNA (tRNA) molecules are approximately 80 nucleotides in length. Their secondary structure includes four short double-helical elements and three loops (D, anti-codon, and T loops). Further hydrogen bonds mediate the characteristic L-shaped molecular structure. tRNAs have two regions of fundamental functional importance: the anti-codon, which is responsible for specific mRNA codon recognition, and the 3' end, to which the tRNAs corresponding amino acid is attached (by aminoacyl-tRNA synthetases). tRNAs cope with the degeneracy of the genetic code in two manners: having more than one tRNA (with a specific anti-codon) for a particular amino acid; and 'wobble' base-pairing, i.e. permitting non-standard base-pairing at the 3rd anti-codon position. The record is from RNAcentral. Lineage: Bacteria; Pseudomonadati; Candidatus Omnitrophota.
GGGCAGGUGGCGGAACCGGCAGACGCGCAUGUUUGAGGGGCAUGUCCCGAAAGGGGUAGGGGUUCAACUCCCCUCCUGCCCA